RNAcentral lists this ribosomal RNA (253 nucleotides) under uncultured bacterium. Its description in RNAcentral is "partial 16S ribosomal RNA". It matches the Rfam family "Bacterial small subunit ribosomal RNA", at positions 524 to 776 of the family's 1533-position model. The record is from RNAcentral.
UACGUGGGGGGCAAGCGUUGUUCGGAAUUACUGGGCGUAAAGGGCGCGUAGGCGGCCUUCUAAGUCGGACGUGAAAUCCCUCGGCUUAACCGGGGAACUGCGUCCGAUACUGAAAGGCUUGAAUCCGGGAGAGGGAUGUGGAAUUCCAGGUGUAGCGGUGAAAUGCGUAGAUAUCUGGAGGAACACCGGUGGCGAAGGCGGCAUCCUGGACCGGCAUUGACGCUGAGGCGCGAAAGCUAGGGGAGCAAACGGG